This 779-nucleotide long non-coding RNA is filed under the name Homo sapiens (human). RNAcentral's name for it is "non-protein coding LINC01812:14". The record is from RNAcentral. Lineage: Eukaryota; Metazoa; Chordata; Mammalia; Primates; Hominidae.
AUUCACAGUCAAGUCAUGUGGAACUACACAACUUCCUUUUUGUGCAUUGGAGCUGGAAAUCUCGUUGAGUUUGGGAGGCCUUACUUCUGCAUAUUUGAAUCUGGUGACCAAAUUAAACAUUGUUCUAACUGUAGUGGUCUGAUCAUUCUACCAAGGCCAUGACUGUGAAGAGCACUGUGGGUGAUGGCUGGUGGCUCACCGGAGCCGGCUUGUGCACGGCGCCCGAAGCCAAAGAAAUCUGAAGACCCGACCUUACUAUUGGCAAAGACAGACAAACACUCUACAAAUAGUGCUUGAAAAAUGCCACUGUUUGGUUCAGAUGGUGAAGAGGAACUCAGGAAGGCCUGGCAGUCUCUAGGAGGCUAGGGCAGUGGUUCUCAAAUGAUAGGGUGUACAGAAAUUCCCUGGAGGACUUGUGACAACAAAGAUUGCUAGGCCUACUCCCAGGGUUUCUAAUUCAGCAGGUCUGGGGAUGGAGCUCAAGUAUCUGCAUUUCUAACAAGUCCCCGGUGGUGCUGAUGCUGCUUGCAUGGACCAGUUUUGAGAACCAUACUUGGAGAAACACUUGGUUAGGAAAACUAUGUCUGUUACAGAUUGAUCAAAGGGCUCUUAAGUUCCUUUUGUACAAUAAAUCACUGCGAUAUCAAAUGAGGUAAAUGAACAUGCUCUUUGAACUCUUAACUUCUAGACCAAUAUAAAACAUUCUAAAUAUGAAAUGGAAACAUUUACAAUUGUUAUUGAUUCUCAUCAAUGCAAUGUUCAAUAAAGAUAAGAAUCAC